UCAUCGAUCUGGAGUCGCCUAAAUGCAGGAGCGGGGCAGCCGGGGCAAAAUCGAGGAGUCACAGUAGUGCAGGUCAUCCAAAGCAGCAGAGUCAUGGGAGAAUCAGUUUGUCACCGCAGUCCAAGGCUUUCAAGGUCUCAGGCACAAGGGGUAGCCUUCAAAAGACGGCUGCACGGGUGGUAUCUAGGUAUCGGCAAAGCAGGGUACUAAAUAGACAGAAGAAAGACAACACUACCUUUGGUAUCAAUUGCAGGUGCCAGCCCAAAUGCAUAGUGAAUAUCACUAAAGACUUCGAUGAUAGGAAGAAGGAGUUGAUUGCUGAAAUUGGAUUUGAUGGAAUUUUGGAUAUCAAACUUACUAAGGUAAACAGGCAGUUUGGGGCAUGGCUUCUGAGCAAGGUUGAUCCAAAAUCAGGCACUAUUGUUACAGAUUUCAACCAGGAGUUGCCAUUUGGUCCCAACGAUGUCAAUGCAGUUUUUGGCUUGCCAUGCUCAGGUCAACUUAUUAUCCCUUGCUCACAAGAUGAAUUAGACGGGAAGAAACAAAAAUUGUGUGAAAUAUUUGAGAUUCCAAACUUUUCACACCUGAAAAUAUCACUCUUAGAGAGAGUCCUAAAGAAGCAGUAUGUUCAUCCCAUGACAAUAGAUGAAAAGAGGGAAUUCAAGGCGGCUUUUGUGUAAUAUGUCACAACAAAGCUCUUGGCACCGCAAUCCUGCGCAAACUUCAUAUCUCCUAGGUAUAUUAGAGCUGUGGCUGAUGUUGACAACAUAAAACAGUACAACUAGUCCCAGUUCGUCAUAGAUGAGGUGAAGAAAGCAGCAGAAUCAUUGCCCAAACGCUUUCCGAAUACGACGCAACAAUCCAUUAACGGGUGUAUCAUCUUCCUAAUGGCAAAAUAUUUGAGCAAACUCGUGAUACAGAAGGUUGGGAUCACGAGUGUUAAAUCAUGCCACAUUUCUCAGUUUGAGGACAAUCAAAUUGCUAUGAUGAUCCAACAAGAUAUAGUAAGUAAACAUAAUCCAGGAUACACUUUCCCUCGUUAUGGGAAGCUCCAGUUGAUGAAGGCUCCAAGAGAAAACUACCCUCAAGCGCCAGAGGUGUCUCCCCUCAACUUAUCCUCCGUUUCGAAGAUACAAUGCAGAGGCAAUGAUGGAGGCGCCAAUUUAAUCAAAUUCCUGGAAUCACACUUCAAUUCGUUAGACGUGAGUGCAAUGGUUGGGCCACAGGCCUAUAAGGAGUUGAAAUCUUACGUUCAGGAUGGAUUCAAUCGGAUUGAUGAGAUUUUGCCUAGCAUAGCAGAUUUCGUAGACAUAAGCAACCUCAAAACUGCUACUGAAGCAGCAAACAUGUUCAAGAAAGCUUUCAAGUAUAAUAUGGCAGCGGCAGUUAAGAUAGCGACGAGGGCAGCAGUUAGGAAUGUUAUUGAUACCAUUGAGGAUAUGCAAGGGCCUCUCCAUCCAUGGGGAGACCCCUCUGCCAUGGGAUACCACACACCCACGAACUACUCCACACAUGCUACAGAAUAUGAAAAUAUAGUGGAGCAACCAACAGAUACCCGACACUGUGAUCACAAAUUUGGAGCCUCGCAGUGCACUCCUACAAAAUUUAAUGGAGCUCCAGGUUCGAAAGAGACUAAUUCUUCAAUGUCGCCUACGUCGGGAACACGCAUGACUAACCAAUGUUCAAUUAUGCUAAUUGAAGAAUUCGGAACCGACGAGCAGAAGAAGCGCAAAUAUACUGUUGAAAACCACCUUCUCACUUGCUGAAACACAAAUCAAAGCGUGCAGUUAAACCAAACAGGAAACUCAUGUCACCUUUCCUGUCAAAACAAUGUUCGACUGAGAGGCUGGACUCCAGGACUACUGAUGAACUGUAUUCCUAUGUUAUGUCUAUUUCUAACGAGGCAUCGUUAGACACAAAAUGGCUGCAAUGUUCCUAUCCAUUCAGGAUUUCAUUGACGCUACGAAACAUCCAGGAGACUAUAAAGAUUGGGAGCCGAAUGGAUUCAGAUUCUCUCAACCUUGCUAUUCGAAUAAUGUUCUAACAAGAAGUUGAGAGAUUUCAAAACACAAACUACUUGGGUUGGUGGCAUUUCAUUAACCAAGAUUUUGGGAUGUAUGCUGUAGCUGGAGAUGAAUUUUGGGAAGCUAGUCAUCAACUUGCACACUUCACGGGCCCCGAAGUUGUAUAUGAUGUUUCAGAUAGUCACAUGAUACUAAUACCUGUUCACCUAUUCAAACAUUACGUGUUGUACGUAUUUAACAUGGAGAGCAAGAAGGUAUUAGUCCUUGAUUCACUGAACACCCAAGAUCCACUGGGGAAUCACGUUUCACCAGGCAUGACAAGAUUAAGAUCAUGGUGUCCCGGUGCGUAAUGGAAUGCAUGCGUCUGGCAUCUCCAGGGUGGAACAAGGACAUACUGAACUGGGACUAUGAGGCAGUGGAAAAUAUACCAGAGCAGCAAAACGGGGAUGACUGCAGCUUUCACGUAUUCAAUAAUAUGGUGAACUGGGAUGGUCUUCGUCUUGUGAACUCUACUUCACAGGACCCGUACUACCUCCGGCGACAAUUUUUGAUCCACCUAUUGGCUCUGCGUGAUAACGAGGCAAUACUUCCAGAAUAUGUGGUGCACCGUCUUCGACAUAUUAAAUACAAUUAGUUCAACAAUUUUAUCCUUAUAGUUUUACCAUAACUUUUCAUGUAAUUUUCGAUAUUCACUUAUGUCUUCGCUUGACAGAAUCUUAAAUUCGUUGCUAUGCAUGGACAAAGAAACAUCUGUGUUCAAAUGACAGUUCCACAUACUUAGUUAUUUCAAUUUUUCGCUACCCCAAACAAUAACAGUAUGCAAGUGUUUAUUCAACUGAUUGUAUGGCUUA
This is a non-coding RNA of Oryza sativa Japonica Group (Japanese rice), 2875 nucleotides long. NCBI's taxonomy places the organism in Eukaryota, Viridiplantae, Streptophyta, Magnoliopsida, Poales, Poaceae. The record is from RefSeq and is a predicted model, not a curated record.